This 248-nucleotide unclassified non-coding RNA is filed under the name plant metagenome. RNAcentral's name for it is "partial contains small subunit ribosomal RNA, internal transcribed spacer 1, and 5.8S ribosomal RNA". The record is from RNAcentral.
UCUCCGUUGGUGAACCAGCGGAGGGAUCAUUACAGAGUUUUCACAACUCCCAAACCCAAUGUGAACCAUACCAAACUGUUGCCUCGGCGGGGUCACGCCCCGGGUGCGUCGCAGCCCCGGAACCAGGCGCCCGCCGGAGGGACCAACCAAACUCUUUUCUGUAGUCCCCUCGCGGACGUUAUUUCUUACAGCUCUGAGCAAAAAUUCAAAAUGAAUCAAGACUUUCAACAACGGAUCUCUUGGUUCUG